This 385-nucleotide long non-coding RNA is filed under the name Rattus norvegicus (Norway rat). RNAcentral's name for it is "long non-coding RNA NONRATT032167". Lineage: Eukaryota; Metazoa; Chordata; Mammalia; Rodentia; Muridae. The record is from RNAcentral.
GAUGGGUAAAAUUGAUUCCAACGGUAUUUUAUUUAAUCAUGCAAAACUAAAGCACCACUUAGACACAGAAUCAAAAUGCAAAAACCUUGACAUGCCCUCCCUUUUGGUAUUAACUUUUCAAAACACGCAACCUGUAUGACAGUAUUCCUCAGCUUCAUCUACUCAUGUCAGGAACAUGUUGGACAUACUCGGCUUGCUGCCGCCAUCUUGGAUACCACCGGGCAGUUUAACACACGCCUGCAUCAAACAGGUAUUAAAUCACUAUACACAGAACUCGCCCAAAAUCUUGGCUGGACUGGCAAUACAGAAGUUGAGACAAAUGUUUACUGUUCGGUUUUACUUAAGGAAAGGCAAAGAGAAGCAAGGGCGGAUGCCCACUGUGCAC